AUUGAACGCUGGCGGAAUGCUUUACACAUGCAAGUCGAACGGUAGAGGGGGCAACCCCUUGAGAGUGGCGAACGGGUGAGUAAUAUAUCGGAACGUGCCCAGUCGUGGGGAUAACGUAGCGAAAGUUACGCUAAUACCGCAUACGAUCUAAGGAUGAAAGCGGGGGAUCGCAAGACCUCGCGCGAUUGGAGCGGCCGAUAUCAGAUUAGGUAGUUGGUGAGGUAAAGGCUCACCAAGCCGACGAUCUGUAGCUGGUCUGAGAGGACGACCAGCCACACUGGGACUGAGACACGGCCCAGACUCCUACGGGAGGCAGCAGUGGGGAAUUUUGGACAAUGGGCGCAAGCCUGAUCCAGCAAUGCCGCGUGCAGGAUGAAGGGCCUUCGGGUUGUAAACGUUAGCUUUUGUUACGGUAACGAAACCGGGUAGGAAGGCUCUAAU
RNAcentral lists this ribosomal RNA (441 nucleotides) under uncultured bacterium. RNAcentral's name for it is "bacterial SSU rRNA". It matches the Rfam family "Bacterial small subunit ribosomal RNA", at positions 30 to 473 of the family's 1533-position model. The record is from RNAcentral.